GUGGGGUAUAAGACACCAUGCUUCGUUCCCUUUUCUUGCUUUCUUUCUGGCUCUGAAUUGAAGUCAACUGGAUCUGGGGCCUUCUGAGUUUCUCUACUUACUGCUAUUUCACUCCUGUAUUUUCCUCGUCUAUUCAAGUAGCAGGAAAGAGAAGACCUCCUUCUACCACAGUUCAUUCUGGAAGCAGAAUCAGGAAGAAAGCAAGGACGUGGCACUAGAAGAUAGAUGCUGAAUACUUCAGCUUCCACCAAGGAUGGUCUCUUGAAGAUAGUGAAGUCAGAUAACUGAAAGUGUCCAUCAAUAAGUGAAGAGGAGAAACACUUGCAUGUGUGAUUUCAUGAG
Molecule: long non-coding RNA, 342 nt
Filed under: Gopherus agassizii (Agassiz's desert tortoise)
Lineage: Eukaryota; Metazoa; Chordata; Testudines; Testudinidae
Description: lncRNA (ENSGAGG00000023888.1)
Source: RNAcentral